CCUACGUGUGGCAGCAGUGGGGGAUAUUGCACAAUGGGCGCAACCCUGAUGCAGCGACGCCGCGUGGGUGAAGGAGCGUUUCGGCUCGUAAAGCCCUAUCGGCAGGGAAGAAGGAGGACGGUACCUGACUAAGAAGCCCCGGCGAACUACGUUCCAGCAGGCGCGGUAAUUCGUAGGGGGCAAGCGUUAUACGGAUUUACGGGGUGUAAAGGGGGCGCAGACGGCGGGGCAAGCCAGGAGUGAAAGCCCGGGGCCCAACCCCGGGACUGCUCUUGGAACUGCGCGGCUGGAGUGCAGGAGGGGCAGGCGGAAUUCCUGGUGUAGCGGUGAAAUGCGUAGAUAUUAGGAGGAACACCAGUGGCGAAGGCGGCCUGCUGGACUGCAACUGACGGUGAGGCCCGAAAGCGUGGGGAGCAAACAGGAUUAGAUACCCGUGUAGUC
This 441-nucleotide ribosomal RNA is filed under the name uncultured bacterium. RNAcentral describes it as "partial 16S ribosomal RNA". It matches the Rfam family "Bacterial small subunit ribosomal RNA", at positions 338 to 795 of the family's 1533-position model. The record is from RNAcentral.